Molecule: long non-coding RNA, 499 nt
Filed under: Drosophila guanche
Lineage: Eukaryota; Metazoa; Arthropoda; Insecta; Diptera; Drosophilidae
Source: RNAcentral
CGCUGCAAGUUGUUCCCCUCCUGCUCCUGCUCCUGCUCCUGAUCCUGACACAAUGCUGCAUGUAGUUGCUUUUGUUGCAUAGCUUGUGACAAGUUUUAUUUAAUUUUAAUUGCUUGUUGUAUAUUAAGUUAUAUUGUCAGCAAAAACGGUUCGCCUGUCAUGCGGUCCGGUCAGUUCUCACUUUUCCUCUCGCAACAAAUUGUAUUUUAGUUUUAUUCAAGUGGUAGAUGAGGGCUUUCAAUCAAAAUCCGUUUGAAGUACAUUUUGUCAGAGAACUCUCUUCAGAAUGUAACCAAGUAAUAUCUUUCCUAAUAUGCUUGCCCCUUCCCUAAUGGGGGUGGGCAAGAGUCUCUCUUUGGCAAUUAACCGGAAAUACUCGUAUUUCGAGUUCAAAAAGUCAACUUUUAUGGGGCUUUCGUUUUUGGCUUGGGUUUGGGUAGGAGAAAGCCCAGCGCCCCUCAUCUACUCACAUAUUUCUCUCGUGUCUGCUGUUUUCUCC